This 332-nucleotide unclassified non-coding RNA is filed under the name Scolecobasidium ramosum. RNAcentral describes it as "Ochroconis ramosa partial internal transcribed spacer region". The stretch from base 1 to 46 matches the Rfam family "Eukaryotic small subunit ribosomal RNA", at positions 1786 to 1831 of the family's 1831-position model. Lineage: Eukaryota; Fungi; Ascomycota; Dothideomycetes; Venturiales; Sympoventuriaceae. The record is from RNAcentral.
AAGUCGUAACAAGGUUUCCGUAGGUGAACCUGCGGAAGGAUCAUUAGCGAGUGGUUUUCGUCGCGAGACGAGCUGCCCCGACCUGUUGUCAUUCGGAUUGGGGGGGUGUUGGAGGGAGGUUUUGGGUUUGUGGUUUUUGGGGUGACCCGGAAGGGGCGCUCCUGGCCCGGCCCGGGCCGCCAGCCGCCCCGGCAUCAUAUACUUCGGCGGAAGAGGUAGGCGUGACCUGCCCGCCGCCGGCCGCAACGACGACACAUCUUUUUGAGAACCUGAAGUCUGAGGCGAAGAUGAAAACAGAAGCAAAACUUUCAACAACGGAUCUCUUGGCUCUG